Molecule: long non-coding RNA, 1219 nt
Organism: Zootermopsis nevadensis
Lineage: Eukaryota; Metazoa; Arthropoda; Insecta; Blattodea; Termopsidae
Source: RefSeq, a predicted model, not a curated record
UUUGCUGUUACUACUACUACUACUAUUACUGCUACUACUGAUGAUACUUCCGUUAGGGAAAUUUUAUACAAAUUUUCCUUGUAUAUAUCUAAACAAAAGAUGAGCUACACCUUAGACAGCAUACUGCUAUGAUUUUAACCUCUUAAAGGACUAGUGAGACUGAGGACUUUGUUUCAGACUGUAGCUCUUUCCGCUUGUUUUACAGCACAAAAGCAAAAGGCGUAGGAUGAAGAAUGCGCUAGAAAAACAUCAGUUGUAUUUUUAAUGUCCUGUUUCCAAGGGGGCAUGUCCAUCUCCUACCUCGAUAAUAGACCAUAUAUGUUCCCUGCCUACUGCAAAAUGAGAUUUGAGGUUGUGAAGACACCUUGGUCUCUCAACCGAGAAUCAUCCAUACGAUUAUUAAUUUUGACGGCAAACUGUAAGUGGACUCGUCACUGUAGAAAAGUUUCUAGAUACUCUUUCCUAAUGCUGAUUAUUAUUUACAUAUGGACGUUUGAUGACAACAUAAUUACAGAUAAACAACAUGAAUGUCUAUCCAGGUUGCAGCGUUAGGUAUACACCGAAGUUUCGGAGGACAUACUGCCAAUAUGUUUAGUCCUGAAGAUAUAUGAAAUAUGUUCGUCAGAAACGUUGGUACGAAGCAGCAAGUUCAUACGGUCCUACAACACAUCUUGAUAACAACAAAUAUCUAAAAUCAUAAGUAUGGACAGACUGGCACUUUGCUGCAAUAACAAUUUAACUAACUAACUAACCAAAUGUCACACAGUUCUUCUUGAGAAGGUGAUAGACACUUAGGUUGUAAAGUAUUUUCAUCGUUCUGAAGGUUGAUUGCUGAGGCCACAAGAGUUUCUUUACCAUUAAUAUCUAUAGUCCAUAUACAUCUAAUGACAGGUAAUGAAUUUUGAAAUUUCAGUGAUCAAGAAUAUUUUUGUAGAGACUUUUUUUAUGUUUUAUGUAUUUUCAAGUGAAUGUACUGCAAUUCUGUAUGAGAUUUUUGACAGUGUUUUAGAAUCAUUAGAAAAUUUUGUUUAAACACUGACCAUUGUCAGAAUACCAUUUGUGUACAUGAAACAAUAUGUACAUACAUAUGUGGAAAUAUUGCACAAACCAACUAUCUAAUAAACUAACAAACUAGCUAACCAAUUAACUAACUCCGUGAAACAAUGCCCUUAUGGUCAGCUAGUCAAGAAAUAAACCAUCUGUUAUGGUACCCAAAAUA